This 464-nucleotide ribosomal RNA is filed under the name uncultured Alphaproteobacteria bacterium. RNAcentral describes it as "bacterial SSU rRNA". It matches the Rfam family "Bacterial small subunit ribosomal RNA", at positions 9 to 521 of the family's 1533-position model. Lineage: Bacteria; Pseudomonadati; Pseudomonadota; Alphaproteobacteria. The record is from RNAcentral.
GAGUUUGAUCAUGGCUCAGAACGAACGCUGGCGGCAUGCCUAACACAUGCAAGUCGAACGCCCCGCAAGGGGAGUGGCGAACGGGUGAGUAACGCGUGGGAACCUACCCAGCAGUUGGGGAUAACCGCGGGAAACUGCGGCUAAUACCGAAUACGUCCUUUGGGAGAAAGAUUUAUCGCUGUUGGAGGGGCCCGCGUCGGAUUAGCUAGUUGGUGAGGUAACGGCUCACCAAGGCGACGAUCCGUAGCUGGUCUGAGAGGAUGAUCAGCCACACUGGGACUUAGACACGGCCCAGACUCCUGCGGGAGGCAGCAGUGGGGAAUAUUGGACAAUGGGGGCAACCCUGAUCCAGCAAUGCCGCGUGAGUGAUGAAGGCCUUAGGGUUGUAAAGCUCUUUUACCGGGGACGAUGAUGACGGUACCCGGAGAAUAAGCCCCGGCUAACUUCGUGCCAGCAGCCGCCGU